Molecule: ribosomal RNA, 512 nt
Filed under: uncultured Acaulospora
Lineage: Eukaryota; Fungi; Glomeromycota; Glomeromycetes; Diversisporales; Acaulosporaceae
Description: SSU rRNA
Rfam family: Eukaryotic small subunit ribosomal RNA
Source: RNAcentral
AGCAGCCGCGGUAAUUCCAGCUCCAAUAGCGUAUAUUAAAGUUGUUGCAGUUAAAAAGCUCGUAGUUGAAUUUCGGAAUCUGUCCGUUGGUCGGGCUUAACUGUCCGUACUGAUGUGAUGGGUUCUUACCUUCUGAAUAACCAGCAUGCCAUUAAUUUAGUGUGUUGGGGAAGCAGGACUAUUACCUUGAAAAAAUUAGAGUGUUCAAAGCAGGCUAGUGCCUGAAUACAUUAGCAUGGAAUAAUAAAAUAGGACGGCAUGGUUCUAUUUUGUUGGUUUCUAGGAUCACCGUAAUGAUUAAUAGGGAUAGUUGGGGGCAUUAGUAUUCAAUUGUCAGAGGUGAAAUUCUUGGAUUUAUUGAAGACUAACUACUGCGGAAGCAUUUGCCAAGGAUGUUUUCAUUAAUCAAGAACGAAAGUUAGGGGAUCGAAGACGAUCAGAUACCGUCGUAGUCUUAACCAUAAACUAUGCCGACUAGGGAUCGGAUGAUGUUAAUUUUUAAUGACUCAUUC